Molecule: ribosomal RNA, 254 nt
Filed under: uncultured bacterium
Lineage: Bacteria
Description: partial 16S ribosomal RNA
Rfam family: Bacterial small subunit ribosomal RNA
Source: RNAcentral
UACGGGGGGAGCAAGCGUUGUUCGGAUUUACUGGGCGUAAAGGGCGCGUAGGCGGCCACCGCAAGUCAGUUGUGAAAUCUCUGGGCUUAACCCAGAAAGGUCAACUGAUACUGCGGGGCUAGAGUGCAGAAGGGGCAACUGGAAUUCUCGGUGUAGCGGUGAAAUGCGCAGAUAUCAGGAAGAACACCUAUGGCGAAGGCAGCACUCUGGGACGGUACUGACGCUGAGACGCGAAAGCGUGGGGAGCGAACAGG